GGCAAUUUAAAUAAUACGAUACGGCGAGUGUGUAAGUGUAAAAUAAAUUCAGAUUUUUGGAUUGCUUUUUACACUAUAAUGUGCUGGAUGGUAAUAUAGGUUUCUGCUAAUGUAUCAAGGUGCUAUAACUGCAACAGCGCUUAUUGUGGAGACCCUUAUGAUGUAUACCUAGGUUCAAUUAUCAGUUGUUCUGAUGUCUUCAAGAAUGCCAAACUUUUCUUCAGCCGCCUUGUGUCAAAUUCAAAUUCUGCUUCUUUGACACAAUUAAAUGAGACUCAAGUCGGGGCCGACAAUUCUAACGACAUCGAGACCCUCAGCUCAACCAACACAAACGAAAUAAUAAGGCAGCGCUCCCAUGCUGAAUUCUUCGAUAUACAACGGAAAAUAUGGGAGUUUUUCAAUAAAGGAGAAAUCAACGAGAAUACCGAGUUCGUUUGCGUCAAAGCUAAUUACAACAGCAGUAGCAGCAGUCAAACGAAGACUUUCAGGGGCUGCGUGCCCCGCAGCACCAAGACCAUCUCGUCGGCCUGCGACUUCGUCAGCCAACGCGUGGUGGGGAGUUCUUCGGGGAGUUCCGUUUACGGUUGUUACGCGUGCAAUAAUGAUUUAUGUAAUGCGGGGAUUACGUUCCGCGCCUCCGUCUUCGUUUUAUUGGCGGGGGUGGCGCUGAAAAUAGUUUUCUGAUGAUGCCGAAGCGGUGCGUAACAAAACCCCCUGUCUCGUAAAAGAGGGUACGAGUGUAUUUGGGAGAGGACACUGUUAUUACGGCGGUCUUAUUUGGAAAAUUAUGACCGCCAUUUCGAAUUUUAAGCGUAUUUUUUACGAUUUUUUUUACAUUAUUUUAAGUCUAGUUUUUGAAGUAUUUACUAACUUAUUUAUGAAAAACUAUAAAAGAGGUCUUUGGAUGAGCUUAAUUUAGAAGAUACUUGAUAAGUUUUCAAGAAAUUUAGUUUUAGGAUUUUAAGAAGAUAGAAUGCAUUGAUGUUAGUGGUCUCGUAUUAUUUUAUAUUGUAAAUUGCUAACACAAUUUAAUAAAUUAUGUUGUUUUACAUAUUAAAUUUAAACUCACA
This 1070-nucleotide unclassified non-coding RNA is filed under the name Sitophilus oryzae (rice weevil). RNAcentral describes it as "uncharacterized LOC115889375, transcript variant X1". The record is from RNAcentral. Lineage: Eukaryota; Metazoa; Arthropoda; Insecta; Coleoptera; Curculionidae.